GUGGCCGUAGCUCAACGGUUAGAGUCCCAGAUUGUGGAUCUGGAUGUUGCGGGUUCGAUUCCCGUCGGCCACC
RNAcentral lists this transfer RNA (73 nucleotides) under Spirochaetaceae bacterium. RNAcentral's name for it is "tRNA-His". It matches the Rfam family "tRNA". Rfam says of the family: Transfer RNA (tRNA) molecules are approximately 80 nucleotides in length. Lineage: Bacteria; Pseudomonadati; Spirochaetota; Spirochaetia; Spirochaetales; Spirochaetaceae. The record is from RNAcentral.